Clupea harengus (Atlantic herring) is the source of this 1121-nucleotide long non-coding RNA. RefSeq lists it as uncharacterized. Lineage: Eukaryota; Metazoa; Chordata; Actinopteri; Clupeiformes; Clupeidae. The transcript has 4 exons. The record is from RefSeq and is a predicted model, not a curated record.
GUAGCAACACAUGUCCGCAAAGUAAUGGUAAUAUGGUGAUGAAUCAAGAUGGGAAUGAUUUUUAAGUCUUGUAUCAUAAGUAGUUUUAUCUGUCGUUGAUGCUAUAUUUUAUUUUGCCCUGGGUGAUUUGAUUUGGGGCAGGUUUCCGAAGUUCAGUCGAGACUCAAGACCACGUGUUUUAGAGACGAAGUAACGUUAGCUAGCCUCCCCCUCUUAGCAUAGUUUGGGUGAGGUCAGUUGAUUUAACAGUUCUUGUUGUUUGUUUAAUUUUGGUUAAGUAUUUAAAUGACUUGACGUUACCCAGCGGUAGUCAGCAGUUCAGACCUGUACCGUGCCUGAACUAGUGUUACACUGCUGGAAAAGAAAGGCGCAGCCAGUUUGACUCUACCCAGAUGCUGCUGUUUUAGUGGUGUCUGAUUCUGAGUCAUGGCUGUGCUGUGUCCCCUCUGAGAGUUGAAUGUUCCCAAAUACACUGGGGCAUUCCUAGUCUGGGGACAAACAUUCAUUGCUUCCCAUAUAGAUGUGUACUGGCCAUUUCUGUACCCCUUUUUAAUCAUUAUUCAAAUCUUGCCAUUUUUGUUCAGGAAGGAUUGGCCCUCCAGUGGUGUGAAGUGGCAAUUUUGCCCUGGAAUGGUGGUUAAUCAUCGUCAUGAUGUAGGUGUAUAACUCCAGAACCCGCUCAGGAUGUUAGAAGGGCGUAAGUGUAUGAAUCGACAACCCGUGCCUGCUCAGGAUCUGUAGUAGGUUUGUAUUGGAAGCUUUUUUUCAAGUAAGACGACAACUGCAUCAGUUAACCUUCAUCUAGUUUAUAUUGUAUCAAGUGUUAUGAGGAAUUUGUGUAUAUGUUGAACAGGAGAAUGUAUUUGAAUAGCUGUUGCUGUAGUCAGCAUUUUAGUCUGACAACUAAUGUAGGAACCGUGUCAGUUUGCAGUGCCUUGAUUUACAAUUCAUUAAGUGCUAAAGUCUUUUUACUAUAGUAAAAUAAGUCUAGUCUUGUUUGUGCCAAAAUUGCAGUCUUUACUCGAGUGUGAAUACUGGUAACUGGUCAAUUCACAUUACCUGUGCUCGAAUGAAAUGACUACUGAUGUAUGUUUGUUUCUCAAUAAAAGGGUGGAAAUGUC